GAUGAACGCUGGCGGCGUGCCUAAUACAUGCAAGUAGAACGCUGAAGGAGGAGCUUGCUCUUCUGGAUGAGUUGCGAACGGGUGAGUAACGCGUAGGUAACCUGCCUGGUAGCGGGGGAUAACUAUUGGAAACGAUAGCUAAUACCGCAUGACAACAGUUAUUGCAUGAUAACUGUUUAAAAGGGGCAACUGCUCCACUACCAGAUGGACCUGCGUUGUAUUAGCUAGUUGGUGAGGUAACGGCUCACCAAGGCGACGAUACAUAGCCGACCUGAGAGGGUGAUCGGCCACACUAGGACUGAGACACGGCCCAGACUCCUACGGGAGGCAGCAGUAGGGAAUCUUCGGCAAUGGACGGAAGUCUGACCGAGCAACGCCGCGUGAGUGAAGAAGGUUUUCGGAUCGUAAAGCUCUGUUGUAAGAGAAGAACGAGUGUGAGAGUGGAAAGUUCACACUGUGACGGUAUCUUACCAGAAAGGGACGGCUAACUACGUG
Molecule: ribosomal RNA, 495 nt
Filed under: uncultured bacterium
Lineage: Bacteria
Description: partial 16S ribosomal RNA
Rfam family: Bacterial small subunit ribosomal RNA
Source: RNAcentral